GACGAACGCUGGCGGCGUGCUUAACACAUGCAAGUCGAACGGAAAGGCCCUUCGGGGUACUCGAGUGGCGAACGGGUGAGUAACACGUGGGUGAUCUGCCCUGCCCUUUGGGAUAAGCCUGGGAAACUGGGUCUAAUACCGGAUAGGACCACGGCCUUCAUGUGCUGUGGUGGAAAGCUUUUGCGGUGUGGGAUGGGCCCGCGGCCUAUCAGCUUGUUGGUGGGGUAGUGGCCUACCAAGGCGACGACGGGUAGCCGGCCUGCGAGGGUGAACGGCCACACUGGGACUGAGAUACGGACCAGACUCCUACGGGAGGCAGCGGUGGGGAAUAUUGCACAAUGGGCGCAAGCCUGAUGCAGCGACGCCGCGUGAGGGAUGACGGCCUUCGGGUUGUAAACCGCUUUCGCCAGGGACGAAGCGCAAGUGACGGUACCUGGAGAAGAAGGACCGGCCAACUACGUG
RNAcentral lists this ribosomal RNA (462 nucleotides) under uncultured bacterium. RNAcentral's name for it is "partial 16S ribosomal RNA". It matches the Rfam family "Bacterial small subunit ribosomal RNA", at positions 28 to 507 of the family's 1533-position model. The record is from RNAcentral.